RNAcentral lists this ribosomal RNA (434 nucleotides) under uncultured bacterium. RNAcentral's name for it is "bacterial SSU rRNA". It matches the Rfam family "Bacterial small subunit ribosomal RNA", at positions 355 to 786 of the family's 1533-position model. The record is from RNAcentral.
UGAGGAAUAUUGGUCAAUGGGCGAGAGCCUGAACCAGCCAAGUAGCGUGAAGGAUGACUGCCCUAUGGGUUGUAAACUUCUUUUAUAAAGGAAUAAAGUCGGGUAUGGAUACCCGUUUGCAUGUACUUUAUGAAUAAGGAUCGGCUAACUCCGUGCCAGCAGCCGCGGUAAUACGGAGGAUCCGAGCGUUAUCCGGAUUUAUUGGGUUUAAAGGGAGCGUAGAUGGAUAUUUAAGUCAGUUGUGAAAGUUUGCGGCUCAACCGUAAAAUUGCAGUUGAUACUGGCGUCCUUGAGUGCGGCAGAGGCAGGCGGAAUUCGUGGUGUAGCGGUGAAAUGCUUAGAUAUCACGAAGAACUCCGAUUGCGAAGGCAGCUUGCUAGACCGUAACUGACGCUGAUGCUCGAAAGUGCGGGUAUCAAACAGGAUUAGAUACC